GUAAAGUGGUGUCUGGGGUAAUACUAAAUGAUGACUAAUUCGUAAUCAGUAGGUUGGGUGUUCGAUUCACCUCAUCAGCACCA
This 83-nucleotide transfer RNA is filed under the name Ferriphaselus amnicola. RNAcentral describes it as "tRNA-Thr". Lineage: Bacteria; Pseudomonadati; Pseudomonadota; Betaproteobacteria; Nitrosomonadales; Gallionellaceae. The record is from RNAcentral.